UACAAUUUUGAUUCAUUAUCAUAUAAUAAUUCAUGAUUAUUUUCUCUUCUUGUUUCUUUACCGACCGAAUAUCAUAAUGGAACAGUUAUGUGUCUGACUUUCUCUCGACAUCUUCUACUGUCAGCGUUAGGAAUAUUAUACGAUAUCUGUAAUAUUUAAAUGAUAUUUCAGGAUAUUCGUGUGUACCGGAGUUUGCGCUGAAAGUACAACAAGAAACAAAUAGCGCUCGUUUGUACGUCGGUGACACUAGCGUUGGUUCAUCCAUUAUUCACCGUUCAUCCAUUUACUUCAUUUACCUCGUUCACUUCGGUGUAUCGUCGCAAAAAACCAGUAACCAGACACUCGUAACACGCACGUCGCGAUGCAAGGAAUGUACUGUGGAAAAUAAAUACGACACAGGAAUCUCAUUUCUGAGAAAGUAUUUUUUUUGCAAACUAUUUCUUCCAUUUCACAUACGCGUGUGAAAUCUUGUAGAAAAUUUUCUGGUAAAUAUUCUUAAUAUUGAAUAUCAUUUACUCAAGUAAUAUCGAUAAUUAAAAUUUUGAACAUGUUAAUAUGGAAAUAAUUUAAACAUAUUAAAAUAUUUCGUAAAAAGACUUUGGUAAAUAAAAAAGGUCUAAAAUAAAAUGAAACAUUAAAUAAUUAGUUAGUGGCCAUUUGCAUCGUUUAUUGCUAAUAUAAAUACCAUUCUUUUACAAAUUGAAUCGAAGUAAUGACGGUCCAUAACACGCGUAAAAAAUAUUAUCUAAUCGAGCCUAAUGACGGAAUAAUGCUAUAGCAUUCGACAAAUUGUAAUACCUUAUAGGAAUGGAAAUAGAGAAAGAGAGAAGAGAAGGCAGAAGAAGAGAGGCAAGAGAAAAAAGUGAAAGAACGAGGAUCGAUGGAGAAUGUAAGUUUUUAUUUAUUCUUUUCACCUCCAUUUCUUUGAACAAUCGGUUUGUCGAUCGUUUAAUG
Molecule: long non-coding RNA, 954 nt
Organism: Apis dorsata (giant honeybee)
Lineage: Eukaryota; Metazoa; Arthropoda; Insecta; Hymenoptera; Apidae
Exons: 2
Source: RefSeq, a predicted model, not a curated record